CCUACGGGGGGCAGCAGUGGGGGAUAUUGCACAAUGGGGGAAACCCUGAUGCAGCGACGCCGCGUGAGCGAUGAAGUAUUUCGGUAUGUAAAGCUCUAUCAGCAGGGAAGAAAAUGACGGUACCUGACUAAGAAGCCCCGGCUAACUACGUGCCAGCAGCCGCGGUAAUACGUAGGGGGCAAGCGUUAUCCGGAUUUACUGGGUGUAAAGGGAGCGUAGACGGCGGUGCAAGUCUGAAGUGAAAGGCCGGGGCUCAACCCUUGGACUGCUUUUGAAACUGUGCUGCUGGAGUGUCGGAGAGGCAAGCGGAAUUCCUAGUGUAGCGGUGAAAUGCGUAGAUAUUAGGAGGAACACCAGUGGCGAAGGCGGCUUGCUGGACGAUGACUGACGUUGAGGCUCGAAAGCGUGGGGAGCAAACAGGAUUAGAUACCCGAGUAGUC
This 440-nucleotide ribosomal RNA is filed under the name uncultured bacterium. RNAcentral's name for it is "partial 16S ribosomal RNA". It matches the Rfam family "Bacterial small subunit ribosomal RNA", at positions 338 to 795 of the family's 1533-position model. The record is from RNAcentral.